UGACGCAGUGACGCUGACGCCACACACCACAGAAAACCGCCAACAUGUUUCUGAUUAAUCUGUUGUUGAGACACAGAUGCAAAAUGUAUUAUCGUUAUGGUUUUUUUGGGAUUCGACAUUUUCCCGCAUUUUCCAUCAUGAAUAUUCAUAAGGUCUGACAGCCAGAAAUCUGUAUUCCUUCAUUGCUGUUAAGCAUGCACAUGUUAUGUUGCAGCCAGCUGGAAUAAGGUGUGAAGAAGGUUAGUUUUUCCUGCAUCAAUCAUUGAUAGUCCAAGUAGUGACCAGUAAUUACCAAGGAUUUAGAAAAGGUAGUGAUUGUGGAUUGAUGCAGAAUAGUCCAUUAUCUUUAGUUUGAUCGACUCGUUAUUGUGUUACCUUUUAGUUAUUAAUUUUUCCAUAAGAAGCUCGCAAAUGAAAGUGGCGAUGAAAAUAUAGCAGCGAAAAGAUGCAAAGUAAAUGUGAAAGGAAGAAAAGAGGCAAAAAAAAAAAAAAAAGCGUAAAUGUAGGAUUCUAGUAUAUCAGCAAUUACCAACGUUUCUUGCAAGGGUAUUAUUAACUAAGAAAUCGUCUUCCGCCCAACUCUUGACCUUGUUAGCAGAACCAGGUUGUUAGUCAUUGCUUUUGUCCUCAAUCACCAUCUUGAUGUAUAUAGGGCAGGAUGAGUGAUCAUUUGGCAGUGCUUGUCAAUCAAUGCAAAUCAUUACGGAAUCGGCAGUCCUACCGCGUUCUGCAGAUCUGUCCCGAUUGCGGAUCAGUAAAAUUCAGAGUUUCAGACAUAGGGAGUUGUGCCGUUUACCUUUCUUUCGCCCAAGUUGUGGCUUAGUCCUACAUUUCUUCGACGUUUUGGAUGCGAGAAUGUUUUCCGCUUUUUUUUUUUUUCUAUGGCACUUGUACCGACUUUUUAAAGUGCCAUCUGGUAGUUUGGAUACCCACAGGCCACAGAUGCUGACGGAUGCUACUGACGAGAAAUUGUUAACUGAGCUACCACGCAUACAAAGCUGAAACUUGUCAGAUGUCCUAACUAUUUAUAUUUGUUCGUCAAGGGUGUUGUUAAAGGGUUGUUUUCCUGAAAGAGAGAAAAGAAGAAAAUUACAAUUUCAACUGAAUCAUUGUUCACAUUUUCGGUGGUGGAGAAUCACAUGUAAUGUCUAAUGUCAUCACAAUGUAACGGAAAUCCCUCCUCCCCCAAGGAGAAGAGAAUAAAGCGGGAAUAAAGCUGAAUUUUGGUAAGACAAGAAUGUCUGAAGAUCCUUACAUUUGCAAAUUCAGGGAAGAGAAAGAGAACCAUAAUAAAGCAGUCUCUGAGAUGGAUACAAGUAUUGUCGCUUACGAUGGAACGGUGCGCGGCUCCAACGGACUUGCACUAGAGUCCUUUUUACAGAAUGGUGUGACAGGCCAAUUGCAGUUGUGUCUGUAGAAGAAUAGGAGACUUUCUCAGGCACGAGUGGCUGCAACGUCUCUAGUUUGAACUACAAAGUAGUCAGUGGGAAUGUUGGCUGACCAUUUCUAGAUUCCGUUGUGUUAAAAGGGAGGAUGUAAAGGGCGGAACAUCUGGUCCUUGAUAAAGUGGGCCCAGUCUACUAAUGUUGUGCACCACAACGAAAAUCAAACGUGCUUUUGUUGCACCGGAAUCUGGUGAUGGCGACAUCUUUAUAAAAAGCAUCGGUGUUAGCAUUGAGACCAUGCUCGAGAUCGCUGAAAUUCUGGAUUUCAACCGCCGUCACUCGAACGAUAUUUAAGAUGUGAAAAAAUACCAUCGCAUCGAAGGUGCCUCAAGUGUAAUCGUCAAGGAGAUGAGAAACGUGUCUAAAGUUGGAAUCACCGUUGAUGUUAGCCACCGAGCUUUUUGGCCAAAUUCGUGACAUCAAGCAAAAGUUACCGGCCAUUCACUCGUUAUGGAAUGGGCGCUGUACUUCCCCAUUGUAAAAAAAAAUUCACGCACGCACUCUACGUAACACCAACUUGAUAUUCUUCACGUCAAGAGCGGGUCCGUUCGUUACGCCGUCCAACCCCUCCUCCCCCCCCCCCCCCAACGUCAUCUUCGCUCUGCAGGCCAUCGAUAUCACCGCUGUUAACCACAACGAGUUCUUUUCUAUUAUUCUACCCAUGAUCCUCAAUGCUUUCGCUGCCGUCUCCAAAUUGUUCAGCGUUCAACCCAAUUUCUUCGAGCUUCACAGCUGAUCGCUGGCGUCAUUUGGGAAUGUAAUCAAGAAGUUUAACUUCAUGAUGACCAUCUUCCACAACUACGCUGAUUCCAGGAAUCCUUGCAUCAAGUCUCAAACAACUGCACUUAUUGCGUCGCGUCGCCCACAUCAAGACCGAGUCCUUCCGUUACCGCCUGGUGAUAAGUCUGGCCACCAUACCCUUGAAUUCAAUUACUUCUUGGUGACAUAUAGACAAAAGACCAUAAAGGUUGUUCCUCGCCAACAGUCUUUGUUCUCCCGUGCUGAUGGAAAUCUUCUUGCGCUCUCAAGGAGGAGGAUGACGUACCUUCACGUGGCCAUGAAGAAAUCGCUGGACUGGUGGAAGAAAAAGGAUUGAUCAAGAUGAUCUCACGGCUUGAAGUUGACCCACAGCAUGGUCAUGCUCGGCGGACAACACAUCAACUGGAGAGUCAACGAUGUCGAUGAUCACCGUCGGUGUCCGUAAACACUCCUGGAUUCGCUCUCCAUCAGUUGGCAUAUGGAUACGUUAACCAGCCUACUAAGCUCAGCACUCUUGCUCAAUGCCACCACUUCAGCUAGGUAAUAAAGUCAAAUCAAGGUAUAUUUAAUUUUUAUUUUGUUAAAACAGUGAAUCGCCCAUUAGUAGCGAC
Long non-coding RNA from Daphnia pulicaria, 2815 nucleotides. RefSeq lists it as uncharacterized. The record is from RefSeq and is a predicted model, not a curated record. The transcript is spliced from 8 exons. NCBI's taxonomy places the organism in Eukaryota, Metazoa, Arthropoda, Branchiopoda, Diplostraca, Daphniidae.